This 959-nucleotide long non-coding RNA is filed under the name Equus caballus (horse). Its description in RNAcentral is "lncRNA (ENSECAG00000042035.2)". Lineage: Eukaryota; Metazoa; Chordata; Mammalia; Perissodactyla; Equidae. The record is from RNAcentral.
CUAUUUUAUCACUCAGCUUUGGCUUUGAGUAAAUUUGCAUACCAUACCCAUUUGAGGGAGCUGUGUUUCUCCUGAAACACACAAACCAAAAGCACAGAGAGAAGAAUUUGGUGAAACUUUCUUUAGAUUCAGUUUAAUUUCCCUCUUCAGUGGAAGGUUAUAAUGACCAAUGGGCAACGAGUUUGAUCUUUGAUUUAGAACUAUUUAUUCCCCAAGGAUGGCUGGUAAGAGACAAAAAUGCUGUGGAAUUGGUUCACGCUCAUACAGCUAGUAAGCAGCAGAGGCUGGAACGUCUGUUUGACUCCAAAGUCCACUGGAGUCCUACAUACGACAAGCCCAAUUCUCCUUCCUCCAUGUCCUUCGAAGUCCUUAAAUGUCCAUUUAACUUAAGGUCUGACACCUCCUGCAACUUGGUCAGAAGACUCACGGCUCUAUUCGCUUCUCCAGAACUCUCACUCCAGGCAUUGAAGAUAGAUACACAGAAGAGAUCUUGUCAGUUACCUCUUGGCUAAAGGGCAAGAUAGGAGCAGCGACACAGUAUUACUCAUGUUCAGCCUCAUGCAGAAUGGAGGGAGCCUCUUUCCAGCUGGAAGGGCAGCCGUCUUGGGCGGGAGGGAAGUGGCAGGUAAGGUGCUUCUCCAUGAGGUUCACUAGGUUCUUCUCCCUGAAGUGUGGAGAGCCUAUCACAGUCACCAAGGCGCAGGGCACUCACAAGAAGGUGGCAAGGAGGAAAACACCUGCCCUUCUCAGUGAGACCUAGAGUCCAACAAUGGGGGCGGGGCCUGAGGCGGAAGCUGACUACACCGCCAUCCUCUGCUCACACUGGGCUGCUGGGAUGCUCCUCAGCAGCCAUUCCACCCUCUCCAACGGGGAGCCAUGAGCCAUGAGGAAGAACUUUCUCCCCCUUACACUCAGGAGGCUGCCCUGCCGUUUUCUUCCUGAAGUUUAAAAUAUGUGUG